Molecule: long non-coding RNA, 2302 nt
Organism: Lolium rigidum
Lineage: Eukaryota; Viridiplantae; Streptophyta; Magnoliopsida; Poales; Poaceae
Exons: 6
Source: RefSeq, a predicted model, not a curated record
UUCCACUUAUUGGCAUCGAAUUAAUCGUAUUCAUUGGCAGAUAUGUACCCCGCUAGCACAGUAUGCUUGUAUCGGUAGACGACGGUGACGGUGGGUCCCAGCUUCUUUACUGACGGUACGGCGGAGAUGUGCUUCCUGACCUAGAUCUGGGAAGCGAAGAAAGAUUGGGGGAUGUGAUUGUUUAUCUGCCUGCGACUCUACGUUCCUCCGUUGCCGCCGCCAGGAAUUGUGGGGAUAUAGGUUCCUAGAUCUAGAUUUCAGUUCCUUCAUUUGGUGUUUUUGAUGUUGCGGUUCUUGGAUUUAUUAGUUGAUUCACUCAAUCCGACUACGCAUCUCCAGUUUUCAUGUUAUUUAUCGUCCAGCGUUGGAAUUUUUUGGGUUCGGUUUAUUUCAGGAACUAUGGAUCUGGGGGAGGGCAUGAACAAGGAGUGCUACAUCUCAAUGCAAUCAGUGGGGAGAGGAGCAGACUAAGCUCACGUAACAUGGUUGCUAAUGAAGCCGAGCAGACUAAGCUCACCGUUGCCCGCACCGCUGAAGUAAACGAAGGUAUGGUUGUUGGAUCGGAAGAGGACAAUCAAACUGAAAACUGCGAUGACAGUACUGCAAAUCGACAUGGAGCUAACACUGAGGAAGCCAUUUCGGAUCGAUAUCUGGAAUUUAGUACGGAGACCUUAACACAGCCAUAAGCAGUUUUCAAUAGAAGGGAGCUGGAGUUUGGUUUAACAUUACCGGACGAAUCCAUAGGAACUAGCUGUUUCGUUGAUAGUUCCAUUAACUUUGGUGGUAGUUACUGCUCUGACGGUAUUUCUAAGGUUUCCUUCUCGAGAACAAUUUCCAAUUACCAGCUGGAGGAAGAUUGUGGGGCAACGGAUGUGACAUCGCAAGUAAGGGAAUUUAAUGGUGGUCUAAUAGAAGAGUCAAUGAGGAAAUAUUGUGAAGAUAAAAAAAGUGUCAUGUUCGAGCCUGCUGUCGGAAUGGAGUUUUCAUCUACAGAGGAAGCAUUCCAGUUCUACAACAUGUACUCCUGGGUUUUAGGGUUCAGCAUCAGAUUAGGUGAUAACUACACAACCAAGACAAAGCAAAGGACAAUGCAAAAAUAUCUUUGCCAGUGACAGGGCAAUGGUGAUGAGACCAAAAAUUCAACAACCAGGUGUGGUUGCAAAGCAAUGAUGAGGGUGGCAACAAAUGAAAGCUGUAAGUGGUAUGUGAAAAAGAUUAUUGUUGAACACAACCAUGAUAUGGUUGAGAGUUGUGGAGAAAGAAAAAAAUUGGCUUCACAUAGACAGAUAGACAGGCACACAAAGGAGAUGAUAAGGCAGAUUAUUAUUUCCUUUAAGUAGUCGACUUUAUUUAUUUGCAAAAAUAACAACUAAAUUAGCAGCAGGGGUUCAGUUCAAAAUCAAGCGUAGUAGCAAUUGCUAAGUACCAUAAUUAUUGCUGACAGAUAAUUACAGAAUCUCAAACAACAGGAAUCCACAAAGGUAUGUUUCAAUUAUGUAUUAAAAGAGUUGUAUCCAGUUACUAAUAUUUAUUGAAUUUACUGCUUCAUACCUGACCCACUACUACAUAAUUCCCCUGUGUGUUGUCCUUGGCGUCUCCAUCUCACCAGAUCUGGUGAAGCAACGAUUCAUCGUCUCCUUCUCUAUUUAUUCUGCUGAAGAAAAACUUUAUCUCGAAAGAAUCUUCUUUCUUACAGAGGUAAGAACAUGUGUUUAUAGAACUAGUUCGAUGUAUUGUGAUGCUUACAUUAUAUUAAACUUUGUUGUAUUACAUUUUUUAUGGCCACGUAUGAUUCUCCAAUAUCUGUGCGACGGAAUUUAAUGGUUCUUUCAAAUUGUCUACCAUACAUAUAUGUGAGUCAUAUAUAUUGUCUUAAAUAAAUAUAUAUGUUGAUCGUGAGAUAUGAAUCUUUGAUCCAAUGCUUGUUGAGUAAAGUAUGAAUGUUCUGAAAGAUCCUAAUAUAGUUUAGGUUAAAGAGAAUAGUAAUACUUCAAACUUAGACAUUUCCAAUGUUUUCUUGAAGAGUCAUAUUGCAAUGUGAUGUUAACAAAUUCAUCGUAUCGUUCCUCAUAUUGAAUAGCCCAGUAUUGCUGUCAUAUGCGAAGAAUGUGUUUGACAUAAUAAUUAUAGAUGGAACACAAUUCCUCUACAAAUAUAUAAUUUAUGAAUGGAACAUUAUAGGAUACAGUGUAUUCGUUUCCUCUUCAAUCUAGAAAAAAGAUGUUCUCCUCCAGUAUUGUAUUGCCGCUAUUAAAUAAUGAGCUCCAUAUGGUGUUCAUUGACUUGGGAAAGGCGUGUGAUA